GACGAACGCUGGCGGCGUGCCUAAUACAUGCAAGUAGAACGCUGAAGAGAGGAGCUUGCUCUUCUUGGAUGAGUUGCGAACGGGUGAGUAACGCGUAGGUAACCUGCCUUGUAGCGGGGGAUAACUAUUGGAAACGAUAGCUAAUACCGCAUAACAAUGGAUGACCCAUGUCAUUUAUUUGAAAGGGGCAAAUGCUCCACUACAAGAUGGACCUGCGUUGUAUUAGCUAGUAGGUGAGGUAACGGCUCACCUAGGCGACGAUACAUAGCCGACCUGAGAGGGUGAUCGGCCACACUGGGACUGAGACACGGCCCAGACUCCUACGGGAGGCAGCAGUUGGGAAUCUUCGGCAAUGGGGGCAACCCUGACCGAGCAACGCCGCGUGAGUGAAGAAGGUUUUCGGAUCGUAAAGCUCUGUUGUAAGUCAAGAACGAGUGUGAGAGUGGAAAGUUCACACUGUGACGGUAGCUUACCAGAAAGGGACGGCUAACUACGUG
RNAcentral lists this ribosomal RNA (497 nucleotides) under uncultured bacterium. RNAcentral's name for it is "partial 16S ribosomal RNA". It matches the Rfam family "Bacterial small subunit ribosomal RNA", at positions 28 to 507 of the family's 1533-position model. The record is from RNAcentral.